RNAcentral lists this small RNA (130 nucleotides) under Paraburkholderia caribensis. Its description in RNAcentral is "Bp1_684". It matches the Rfam family "Burkholderia sRNA Bp1_Cand684_SIPHT". Lineage: Bacteria; Pseudomonadati; Pseudomonadota; Betaproteobacteria; Burkholderiales; Burkholderiaceae. The record is from RNAcentral.
AGAAAAGUAGGUGCCGCCCCGCACAGGGGCGACGCCUGAAGCACGCUAACAAACCGCGGAUGCCAGCGAAACCACAAGCAGACCACCCAGCUCGCGCAGCAACAAAAAAAACACCCCCCGGUAUCCCCGU